GAAACCUCUUUGGUGCCACCUUUCUGGUUCCUUAUGCAGAGGAGCAGGAGAGCUUGGAAUAAACCUUGAGAUGCUGCAUACAAAUACCGGCAGUCCCCAAGUUACAAACAAUCUCUCUCUCUGUUCCUCCUUCCUUCCCUCCUUCCCUCUCUGCAGCAGCCAGGCAUCAAAGGCCUCCUGAGUAUUCCUGCUCUGCAGUGUCACAGCAUAUGUGCAGCAUACAAGAUGGGGAGAACUCUGCGAACAUUUGACUUCAAGAAAGGGCUCAGCCUCUGCGCAGCUCAUUUACACUUUAGACAGCCAACACAUUCUCCUUUGAAAAUCUCCAACACUCACCCAGCCUAGAAGGGACUUUAACCACAGGAAAGCAAACAUGCUGGAACAGAGUGGGGGACAAAGGCCAGCUCCUUGGUUUUUGUUCAUAGAGGAGCCAGGAUGAUUACACAAUGCUCCAUCACCUGCUUCUGGGAUUAAGCAGAUCUGUUACAUCCUUGUGUACUCUUUGCUUCAAAAUAAUCAAAAGGAGACAAAGAACAGGAGUGUUUGGAGUUGCUUUGAUUAAAUGGCCAUGAAAGCACCCAGCCAAAAGCUGCCUUUGUUCUGCCCACUGCCAAUCUUACUUGGCUAAGUAAUGUCAGUACUUUCUGUGCUCUCUGACCACUGCCCUGGGAAUGAAUGGCCGCUCUGAUUUGGCAGGACUGUCACUCACGUAAUCAUGAAGGGAGGGCAAGAGGGGGAGGCAAAGGAAUCCUUUGCACAAUACCUUUCUGUGAGUAGCCAGUCAUGGGAAAGGCUUGCUUUUGCAAGGAGGACAGUUUCAGUGCUGGAAUAGGGAUAUUCCUUCAUUUGUCGGUGCCAGAGUUGAGGGGUACAGAUGCAAAUCUACUAUGCAUUUCCUAUGAUUGGGGAAGGAUUGAGGAUUUCCCCCCAUAAUGCAUUUAGUUGUUAUUCUUAUUACACAGAGCUGCAAUUGUGCAUACAUUGUUCCUAUGGCUAAGGAUAUAGCUCAGAGAAGUUCUUGUUUUGGACAACAGCUUCUAGAAUUCCUGUUGUAAAGCCAGUAACUACAUCAGCUGAGGAAUUCUAGGAGCUGUAUUUUUUUUAAAAAAAGAUUCCCCCCCCCCCCAAAGUCUAGAGGGAAAGUUUGAAUAUUACCCAACCCCAUGAAGGUCAUCAAGCCUCACUUUUUCACAACAGCUCUCUGUUAUGGCCUCGGCCUUGCUCAACAAAAAAGAAGGAAGAUCUUUCCAAAACAUUGGCUUCAGAGAUGAAACAGGUUUCUGGCACUAAGCCAGGACCUGCCAAGAAAGAAAAUGGAGGCUACAAAGAAGUCUAGAUCAAAGAUCAAGCCUUGGAACCUACAGUCUCACCCACUGAUACCCAUUGUGUAGGUGUGUGAGCACUGCUGUUCAAGUGUUGGCUUCAUGCUGCAAUUGAUCAGGCUUGGCAACAAUGUUAGACCAAACAGAAACUUCUCUGGGGCCAGAGACAGUCUCUUUCUGAUCCAUUGGAAGAGGUGUCUCUAAGAUUCUCACCUGCUCAUGCCCCAACUGGCAUAACUGUGCCCAGAACAUUAGAACCAGUGGCUCCCAAAAUGCCACCCUCUCUUUGCUUAUCACACUUGGGAAAAAAUGCUACCAAUUCUUGACAAGUUAUGGGAAGAGAGACUACAAGCCCCCCCACCCUCGUUCUUGACACAUGGCUAUAAAAGAAGUGUGUGUGUUGUUAUUUGUGUGCAUGCAGCACCAAAAGCAGCGAGUGACCAAUAGUCAUUGUGAAUAUUGUCGUAUUUGGUCAGUUGUACCAUUGAUCAUCUAGCAUUGCCAGCCUGCACCUUCCUUUAAAUUGCAGAAGUCAAAUGCCUCCUCUAACAGUGCCUCUCCAGGAGUCCAUUGAAAGACAUGUCAGGCACAUGGUCCUUUAGAAGUAUUUACUUUGGCAGAAAAUUGGUAUCAGUAAGAACUUUAUUCCCAGUACACACAGUACCCUCAGAGAAGGAUUUUUCCUUCAAAUCACUGCAGGGGAGAACAGAGCUAAAUUCUCUCUCCCUACCUUGAAGGCAUAUAUACACAUACCUAUUGAAAUAUGAUAAUGAUCACAUACCCUUCAACAUUUCACAGAAGAAAACUGAGAAACAUGUGUCCAGGAAUAUCAGAAUGUGAUCAAUGUGAACAAUUUACUUUUGCCUGAACUGAAGAGAGCAAGAUAUCACCCUGCUUCUCCCCUUCCCUCUCCGCUGAGUGGAUUGAGUACAAAUUACUUUUGCAUGUUGACCUCAGUUUGCUGUAGCUGAAAUAAGUAAAGGAUGAAGGCAAAAGUGGGAGGAGCAAAGAGUAAUGGGUAUAUUUACAAAGCAGCUGGAAAAGGAAGAUAACAAACGAAUGAUUAAGAAUGUUCCUGCUAAAUCAGGAUGGUUGGAGUGUAUGAAAAAGUAAAAAGUGCACUUUGUUGUACUUUUUACAAGAUGUGUGUUUGACUAUUGACUUAAGAAUUUAUGAAUUCCAUAGGAUUUUCAUGGACAAAGAAUAUUCAGAAGUGGUUUGACCAGUUCAUUCCUCUGACAUAGAACCUAUCAUAGUUGUUAUUAGCUGGGGGGUCUUCUAAUCAAAUACUAACUUGGUAGUCUAUUGCAAGGAGGUGAUGAACCAGCACAAUAUUGUGUAAUGCCCAAUACUCAUUGCUAAUCUAUCAUCUCCCCACUAUGGAACUAUCUAGGGCAGAGUUUAUCAAACUAUGCUCCUCCAGGUCUUUUGGACUUCAGCUCCUACUGACAGCUGGUAAGCUGGCUGGGAUUUCUGGGAGCUGAAUUCCAAAACAUGUGGAGUAGGACAGUUUGAGAAAUACUGACUAGGUUAUAGCCUCUUAUUGGGCCACUGUCCUAGGACUUACCUUGUACAAUGAGUCAAGGUGCAUCCCUUGCUCUAUUUUUUAAUUUAUGAAGUGUCUGUAAAAUAACAACAAUGGUAAAAAACAAGGAAGAAAAGCAGCACGGUGGUAGGGUGGAGUUACACCAUCCAUCCAAGUGAGCUGAUUGUAUUGUAGAACUGAUCCUGCUUGACUUCCAAGAUCAGACAAGAUCUGGUUAGUGCCUUUAAGACAUUUAUGUGCAUGCAAAAUCAAAUUGUUGUUUGACACAGAAUUCAAAUAUAUCUUUCACAAAUCA
Molecule: long non-coding RNA, 3163 nt
Organism: Anolis carolinensis (green anole)
Lineage: Eukaryota; Metazoa; Chordata; Lepidosauria; Squamata; Anolidae
Exons: 2
Source: RefSeq, a predicted model, not a curated record